Molecule: ribosomal RNA, 122 nt
Filed under: Sebastes rubrivinctus (flag rockfish)
Lineage: Eukaryota; Metazoa; Chordata; Actinopteri; Perciformes; Sebastidae
Source: RNAcentral
GCUUAUGGCCAUACCACCCUGAACACGCCCGAUCUCGUCUGAUCUCGGAAGCUAAGCAGGGUCGGGCCUGGUCAGUACUUGGAUGGGAGACCGCCUGGGAAUACCAGGUGCUGUAAGCUUUU